CCGCGCGCGCAGCACCUUUUGCUCAACCGGAGUUAGCCAAGAGGGGCGCCCUACCCACCUCCUACGCACUCCCCAAACUCCCCGGCAAGCUGUCCUGCCUCCAGGCUCCGGUCAAAAGGGCUUGGAUUCCGCCUUCUCGGAGCCAACUUCCUGCCGCUGGGUGGCCUGAACCUGAAACAGCUGUCUGCAAGUACAGAUUUAUUCUGGCCCAUCCCUGGGACCCUGGAAUUGGAGGAGAGCACGGGAUCCCCUUUACUCAACAAGGAGCCACGAAGCACCUACUGUGUGUCAACGCAGCAAUUAGGCACCAAGGCCUAUUGUGUGUUCAUUUAAAAAAUAAUCAAGUUCCUACCAUGUGCCACGCACUGUCCCAAAUACAGAACUGAUUUUUGCCCUGAUAGGAUCCCAGAAUUCGGCGCUGCCUCCUGUCCCCUAGAAGACGCAACCCACAGCCUACCUGCCUUUGCCCAUGGCUGCCCCGCCCUCGCUGCCAGGUCCAAGUUGUACCCUGCCUUCCAACCUGGGGCCCAUCCUCUAUCUGGUUCUUGAGUUUUCCCCUCUUUUCCUCAUUCGGCCUGCACUAGUUGUGAACAUGCAUAAGUAACCUGCUUAUAUGUUUAUUUACCAAAUACACUAAACAUCUGGUAGGUGCCAGACACUGUUCUAAAGGAUAGAGACAAAUCAGGGUACAAAACAGGCAAAACUCCUGGCCCCUUGUGGCUGAUGUUCUACCUGAUGUGUGCAGAAUAUCCAGAAUAUUGCAAGAAGCCUCUGGUAAAUGUCCUGGGGGAGGAGGCGGUUCCACUCUAUGAAUCCUUUGUACCUUUUGGCUGUUGUAACGUGCACAUUACUGUAACAUGUUUAAAUAUUCCAACAAUAAAUUAAAUUAAAAAUUAA
Myotis lucifugus (little brown bat) is the source of this 897-nucleotide long non-coding RNA. RefSeq lists it as uncharacterized. The record is from RefSeq and is a predicted model, not a curated record. The transcript has 2 exons. Lineage: Eukaryota; Metazoa; Chordata; Mammalia; Chiroptera; Vespertilionidae.